UACGUAGGGUGCAAGCGUUGUCCGGAAUUAUUGGGCGUAAAGAGCUCGUAGGCGGUUUGUCGCGUCUGCUGUGAAAACGCGGGGCUCAACUCCGCGCCUGCAGUGGGUACGGGCAGACUAGAGUGCAGUAGGGGAGACUGGAAUUCCUGGUGUAGCGGUGGAAUGACGCAGCUAUCAGGAGGAACACCGGUGGCGAAGGCGGGUCUCUGGGCUGUAACUGACGCUGGAGGAGCGAAAGCGUGGGUAGCGAACAGG
This 255-nucleotide ribosomal RNA is filed under the name uncultured bacterium. Its description in RNAcentral is "partial 16S ribosomal RNA". It matches the Rfam family "Bacterial small subunit ribosomal RNA", at positions 524 to 776 of the family's 1533-position model. The record is from RNAcentral.